UUGAGUACUCUAUCGGCUACAGGUAGUUAGGGUGUAGGUCACGAUUAAGCUUUUUUUUUAGCUCACCUGAGCACAAUGUGCUCAUGGUGAGCUUUUGUGAUCGCCUUUUGUCUGUAGUGCCUCGUCCGUUGUGCGGCGUCAGCAUUUGCCUUGUUAACACUCUAGAGGCCACAUUGAUUUCCAAUCUUCAUGACAUUUGGUCAGAAAAUUGGUCUCAAUAAUAUCUUGGAUGAGUUCGAAAAUGGUUACAUUUGCUUGAAAAACAGGGCUGCCAAGGGGCGGGGCAUUUUUCCUUAUAUGGCUAUAGUAAAAUCUUGUUUACACUCUAGAGGCCACAUUUUAUAUAUUCAGAAGUCUGAAUUUGGUCAGAAGAUUCAUCCCGAUAAUAUCUUAGAAGAAUUACAAAAAUGAUGCUGGUUGGUUGAAAAACAUGGCUGCCAGGGGGCGGGGCAUUUUUCCUAAUAUGGCUAUAGUAAAACCUUGAUAACACUCUAGAGGCCACAUUUAUUUUCUGAUCUUCAUGAAACUUGGUCAGAAGAUUUGUCCCAAUUAUAUCUUGUUAUUUCAGGUGAGCAACUUUGGGCCUUUCAGGCACUCUUGUUUAAAAACAUUGCAUGUUCUGUGCAUUUCCAAAAAGGAAAACCAUUUUGUCAUUUAAUAAGACCCAGUUCAUUCACUGCACAAUUUAUGAAGUUAUGACUUCUUAAAGGCGGCAACAUAAAAACAGCACCCUCCUAUUUUGCUCUUGAUCUUUCUUUACCUCAGAUGUAGAAGGACCUCAUAAACUUAUUUUGAAAGUUUGCGUUUCCUUAAACCUAACUCUAUUUUUCACCAUUUAAAAAUUCAAGAGCACAUAAUAAACUUUAAACAAUGUUUGCCCACAUGUUGGUUUUGCCCCGCAACAGUCCAUAUUCUUUCUCUCAUACUGCUGCCAAUGUUCUGCCAAGAGUGCAUUUUAUGUAUAAUCAUUUGAUAGUUAACUAUCUUAACACAAAAUUUAAAACUCGUAAUUAUCUUUAUGCAGGUAGGACUGCCUAAGGAUGGAUUAAACAAUAUUGGAGGUGCAAUUUGCGGCAUACCCAGGGACACUCAAUUACUCCCAUGGCAGGGCAGGACCCCCCCCCUGGCACCCAGUGAAUGCCGACUUGUUCUUUUCUGCAAUGAAGACUUGUUUAGGGACGUCUUGGGAUCUAAGUGCAGAAUUUGAAGCAAAUGUGACAUCAACCCUCUAAACCGAUGAGAGAAACAACACUGAACUUAAAUUUCGGAUAUAACCCUGAACAAUUGUCAUCAAUCACAUGACAUGCUGCUCACCACUAGAGGAAGACCCCUAUUGAAUUUGGCGUUUAUUCCUCUAAGUAACUGACCAGACACUAGAAGGUCCAGGUGCUGAUAAACUACACAAGAUCAAGUCCUGGUGUACAACACCCUACAGUGUUUCUGGCGGCUGGUGGAGCGAUUAAAGAAAAGCCAUGCUAAUGUUGCAAUGAUAUGUAUGCUAAACAAAAUAAAUAAAUUUAAAAAAAA
Dreissena polymorpha is the source of this 1527-nucleotide long non-coding RNA. RefSeq lists it as uncharacterized. Lineage: Eukaryota; Metazoa; Mollusca; Bivalvia; Myida; Dreissenidae. The transcript has 4 exons. The record is from RefSeq and is a predicted model, not a curated record.